RNAcentral lists this ribosomal RNA (526 nucleotides) under uncultured bacterium. RNAcentral describes it as "partial 16S ribosomal RNA". It matches the Rfam family "Bacterial small subunit ribosomal RNA", at positions 28 to 523 of the family's 1533-position model. The record is from RNAcentral.
GACGAACGCUGGCGGCGUGCUUAACACAUGCAAGUCGAACGAAGAGCGAUGGAAGCUUGCUUCUAUCAAUCUUAGUGGCGAACGGGUGAGUAACGCGUAAUCAACCUGCCCUUCAGAGGGGGACAACAGUUGGAAACGACUGCUAAUACCGCAUACGAUCUAAUCUCGGCAUCGAGGAUAGAUGAAAGGUGGCCUCUACAUGUAAGCUAUCACUGAAGGAGGGGAUUGCGUCUGAUUAGCUAGUUGGAGGGGUAACGGCCCACCAAGGCGAUGAUCAGUGGCCGGUCUGAGAGGAUGAACGGCCACAUUGGGACUGAGACACGGCCCAGACUCCUACGGGAGGGAGCAGUGGGGAAUCUUCCGCAAUGGACGAAAGUCUGACGGAGCAACGCCGCGUGAGUGAUGACGGCCUUCGGGUUGUAAAGCUCUGUUAAUCGGGACGAAAGGCCUUCUUGCGAAUAGUGAGAAGGAUUGACGGUACCGGAAUAGAAAGCCACGGCUAACUACGUGCCAGCCGCCGCCGUAA